This 441-nucleotide long non-coding RNA is filed under the name Nicotiana benthamiana. RNAcentral describes it as "long non-coding RNA (NBEN_LNC029898)". The record is from RNAcentral. Lineage: Eukaryota; Viridiplantae; Streptophyta; Magnoliopsida; Solanales; Solanaceae.
UCGCAGAAACAGAACAAGUUCAGCUUCCUACAGAAGUUGUGGUGGACGGGAAAUCUGCCUCUUCAAAAGAAGAGGUAGAAAGCACGAGGGAGGACGGGGAGCUUCCAUCUUUAGUUCCUGUCACUUCUAUAAAUGAUACUAAUGUCACUCCAAAUAAAAAAAUCAAUUUUGAUCCCUCCACAAAGCUGGCUUUCAUUUCAAAGAGUGCCAGCUCUCCAAUUAUAAAGGGGAAGUCACCAAGUUUUAAGAAAUACGGAGAUGAUGCAGAUCUUAUUCUGGAAUCCGGGGAACUUCCAUCUUUAGUUCCUGUCACUUCUAUAAAUGAUUCUAAUGUCACUCCAAAUAAAAGAAUCAAUUUUGAUCCGUCCGCUAAGCUGGCUUUCAUUUCAAAGAGUGCCAGCUCUCCAAUUAUGAAGGGGAAGUCACCAAGUUUUAAGAAAU